CAAUUCACGAUUUACAGUAAAUGCUUGUCUUUUUUGUGGUUCAUAUAAAUUACAGUACCUAGUAGUUCUGAAUUUACAAAAGGAUUUCACUCACCUCUUUUUUUUUACUUCUGAUUUCACUCUGUUCUUCCUCCUAUCCUCCUUCCUGCUGACAAAACGGUUACCUGGACACCGGCACACCGCUUUCCAUGAGCUGGGAAAGACAAUGACUCAAUGGACAAGCCUUAACUUUACUGAUUUCACUCGCCACGAAACUGGAAGCGUUGUCCUGACACCUGACCAACAAUCAGCUCGAAAGGGAUACACAUGCAUGCAGCAGCAAGCAUCGCCGUCGGCGAUCGACAAUCUACGGCGGCGGCGUGCCGAUUCACACCGCCAUUGUCAGCAGCGCGGACACGAGGCACAGGCAGGCGGCGGCGAGCCCCGCGCCCGCGCGGCCCAGGAGGCGGGCGGCGCCGGAGCUGUCGUCGUCCGUGUCCGGCGGCGGCGGCGGGACGAGGAGCACGUUGAUGGCGAGCUUCUGGCCGGCCUCGCAGUGCUCGCCGACGCCGCAGAAGUAGAAGCGCUCGCCGGGGUCGGUGAGCUCGAUGAUGGUGGGCCCGCACUGGUACCGGCUGGUGAUGUUGCGCAUGCUGCACGCGUCGAACAGCUCCCGCGUCGGCACCUCCACGAUGUUGUGCACCCCGCUCCGGUACAGGAACACUGGCAGGCAGGUAGCAGAAUGAAGGAAAAAGCUAGGGUGACGUGCGUCGUGGUGAUCGAUCAAAAAGCUAGGGUGGGCCGCCUUACUCAGCUUGUCGCCUAUGCUGAUCUGCCUGGUGUGCGCCCAGUCCUCGUAGUACGUCCUGUUGGGGGGCAUCCGCCACCCUUUGCCGGCGCCGACGAUGUGGUAUAUCCCGGCGGUCGAGCCGGCGACGAGGGACGCCAUGACGGCUGAGAGGAGCAACAAGGCGUGCCGGCUCCUCCUGCGUUCCAUGCUUGACCACCAACCCUGCUGCUUCUCGUUUCUUUCUUAUUAGCUCUGCUAGCUAGCCCCCUGUUCC
This 1043-nucleotide unclassified non-coding RNA is filed under the name Zea mays. RNAcentral describes it as "misc RNA Zm00001eb245450". Lineage: Eukaryota; Viridiplantae; Streptophyta; Magnoliopsida; Poales; Poaceae. The record is from RNAcentral.